RNAcentral lists this ribosomal RNA (450 nucleotides) under uncultured bacterium. RNAcentral describes it as "partial 16S ribosomal RNA". It matches the Rfam family "Bacterial small subunit ribosomal RNA", at positions 354 to 796 of the family's 1533-position model. The record is from RNAcentral.
GUGGGGAAUAUUGGACAAUGGGCGAAAGCCUGAUCCAGCCAUGCCGCGUGUGUGAAGAAGGUCUUCGGAUUGUAAAGCACUUUAAGUUGGGAGGAAGGGCAGUAAGUUAAUACCUUGCUGUUUUGACGUUACCGACAGAAUAAGCACCGGCUAACUUCGUGCCAGCAGCCGCGGUAAUACGAAGGGUGCAAGCGUUAAUCGGAAUUACUGGGCGUAAAGCUGUCGUAGGUGGUUUUGUAAGUUGGAGGUGAAAUCCCCGGGCUCAACCUGGGAACUGCCUCCAAAACUGCAUGACUAGAGUACGGUAGAGGGUAGUGGAAUUUCCUGUGUAGCGGUGAAAUGCGUAGAUAUAGGAAGGAACACCAGUGGCGAAGGCGACUACCUGGACUGAUACUGACACUGAGGUGCGAAAGCGUGGGGAGCAAACAGGAUUAGAAACCCGGGUAGUCC